AUUGAACGCUGGCGGCAGGCCUAACACAUGCAAGUCGAGCGGUAGAGAGAAGCUUGCUUCUCUUGAGAGCGGCGGACGGGUGAGUAAUGCCUAGGAAUCUGCCUGGUAGUGGGGGAUAACGUUCGGAAACGGACGCUAAUACCGCAUACGUCCUACGGGAGAAAGCAGGGGACCUUCGGGCCUUGCGCUAUCAGAUGAGCCUAGGUCGGAUUAGCUAGUUGGUGGGGUAAUGGCUCACCAAGGCGACGAUCCGUAACUGGUCUGAGAGGAUGAUCAGUCACACUGGAACUGAGACACGGUCCAGACUCCUACGGGAGGCAGCAGUGGGGAAUAUUGGACAAUGGGCGAAAGCCUGAUCCAGCCAAGCCGCGUGUGUGAAGAAGGUCUUCGGAUUGUAAAGCACUUUAAGUUGGGAGGAAGGGCAGUAAAUUAAUACUUUGCUGUUUUGACGUUACCGACAGAAUAAGCACCGGCUAACUCUGUG
This 484-nucleotide ribosomal RNA is filed under the name uncultured bacterium. Its description in RNAcentral is "partial 16S ribosomal RNA". It matches the Rfam family "Bacterial small subunit ribosomal RNA", at positions 30 to 507 of the family's 1533-position model. The record is from RNAcentral.